ACAUUUUGAUAAAAACGUAAGUUUUCCAAUGAUCCAUGAUCCAAUAAAGUCUACGUCUGGAAAACUUAUGAUGCCUUGUCCUUGUGUACUCUUGGACUUUUUCUACCGAUUCUUCGUCAUUUCUUUUUAUUCACCCAAUAGAAAUUAUUUAGAUAGAUGUUUAAAUUGGCAAAUGGACAAAAAAACUAGAAAACUAACAGCAAAACAUAAAAAUCAAUUAAAAAAUACAACCAUAAUAUCAUUUUGCUAUUAUUUAUGUACUAUAUCAUAUUGUCAGAUCAUCAAUAAUUAAGUACUGUACUUUUUAUAGUUAUUAUCUACUCAUAUUAAUAACAAGAAACUAAAUAUAAUUUAUGUAAUUAUUAAAAUGUAGAGGAAUUUGGUCUAUUAUGUAUUAGAUAGGUAUUUAAUAUACUUCAUCAUUGGGUAGAUACUUAGAUAUAUAAUGAAUGUAAAUAUGUAAUCAAUUUGAAUUUAAUUUUAAACCACCGCUUAGGUAUCAAAAAUGAUUCUAAGUUAAGACGUUUAGGAGUCAAAUUACACCCAUUAGAUAAGUACUAUUUAAUAUAUUUUACUAAAGAAUACGUAUUAACUAAUAAGAAUAAGUCAUAGGAUUUUAUUUUUCUAUUAGACUUGAGUGUGGUAGGUUUAACUUAUUUUUGGCAACAAUAUAUAACAUACAUUAUGAUUAUUUCAUUAAUAAUUAUAUUAAGAUACUUAAUUAUUAUUUUAUUUAAUAUUAAUGUAUGGAUACAUAUAACUGUAUAGUAUGGAGAUGUUCAAAACCACAUACCUAUGUAUAUUAUAUUUAUAUGUAAACAUAAUGUAGAAAAGUAUGACUGUGUGAUCUAUGAAUACCUAGGUUCAUUCAAUUAGUGGUUUAAAACUUUAAAAUCAAUAUUAUUGUAUAAAAAAUAUUGAAAUGUCUCUACAAUAAUGGUAAAUAAAUUAUAACAAUGAAAUAAAUAAAAUCUUUAUUUUCAUUGAAAAUUCAAUUUUAAAAUAUGAACUUAUAAAAAAAUUGUAACGAUAUACUUUUUAACUGUCAUAAAAACCACUUAGGUUAACAUAAUAUAUGUUGUACAGUAAAUUUUCAAGUUUUUUCACCAAGUUAAAUAACUUAUUGAAAAAAAAAACAAAAAAAAUACAUUUCAAGUACCUAAAAUUGUUUAUAAAUAAAUUAAAAUUAGUAGAAAUAUUUUGAAAUAUCAAUAUUUAGAAAAAUGAUAAUUAAGAUAAUAGUAAAAUGUUUCAAGUUUUAAUGAUUUUUUUUUUAAUUGUAAUAAAAAAAAAAAGUUACUUCUACAUGGGGAAAAAAAUUUCUAGAUCUUACUUUGUAGAAUUUAUAUGAAGAACGCCUGUAGAGGAACGACAUGCAUUUGAAACUAUCUUAAAAUAUAUUUCUGAGUUCUGGCCUCAUUUCUAAUUAUAAUAAUAUAUAUUAUGUAUAUAUUAUACCUACCUAUGCAGUAUAUAUUUAUGUAUAAUUUUUAAAUUUACAAUUAUAAUACAUUUUAUUAAUAACAUAUAAUUUAUUUAUUUAUUA
Molecule: long non-coding RNA, 1546 nt
Organism: Aphis gossypii (cotton aphid)
Lineage: Eukaryota; Metazoa; Arthropoda; Insecta; Hemiptera; Aphididae
Exons: 2
Source: RefSeq, a predicted model, not a curated record